This is a long non-coding RNA of Osmerus eperlanus (European smelt), 786 nucleotides long. RefSeq lists it as uncharacterized. The transcript is spliced from 3 exons. Lineage: Eukaryota; Metazoa; Chordata; Actinopteri; Osmeriformes; Osmeridae. The record is from RefSeq and is a predicted model, not a curated record.
UUAACACGCAAACGCACACACACGUAGCUAUACCUUCAGUUCCACAAAGUUUAUUGACACACCGGUUAAAUCAAUGGAUUAUCUUAGAAGGGAUUGCUGAAAUAGCAUAUCUACUUGCACAAUGUAGUGUGAAGUUCAUCCUUUUACAAACGACACGUCUGUUUACUUCCGGUCAACUCAACAGUUGCCCACGCGUCCAACCUCAAUGAUCACUGAACACAGCUAAUUUGAUUAUCACUGUUAGCUUGUGCAUACUGUUAGCUAAUAGUAUUUACCGAUCGUUUUCGAUCAUCAGAAAAGAGAAAGACCAGUGGCUAACUGCACAAAUCAGACGGACAUGGAUGGCGAGGGUGGAAUGGAUGUGUCCUGUAACCACGACUACUGUACAGUCCCCGAGCCUACUGCAGUUGACCUGUCUUUCAGCGCGGGGGUGUGAAAUGGAGGAAGAAAUCCAAAAACUGCGGAAGCAGCCCUGUCCAUGGUUCGAUUAAACAGAAAAUACCUCGCCUGCAGUUUCUCAGACACACCCCAGAGACGUGCUUCCAUGACUACCCAACCGCUCUACUCUAUCCGGUAAACAACACAACAGGCCUCGCCUACGACCCGACCAGGGAAAGACUCACCUGGACAUGUGCCCUUUCGAAAGGGAUAGUCUGCAAGUGGGCCUGCAGCGUCUCGCAGGUGCCUGACGCAGGUGCAGUUAGACGACAGCGUGCUGUCCCCAUCCAUUUCUUUCACAAUCUCCUCCCGUCCAGGCCUCCCAGCCCCCGUCCACCCCUCACCAGC